AGCCUACUUAUACAAUAUAUUCUCCUUUACAUCUACUCAACUCCUAUUCUUCUUAUUAUCACAACGCAUAAUCCCUUAUUUGCGAUGUUCAGGUUCAAAUUUCAUUGUCGCAAAGAGGUUGAAAUUUAUUAGACUUUUUUCUUUUCUUAAAAAAAAGAACUUUUUGAAGUAUUUGAUAGUUCUUUUGCCUAAAGAGCUCUUCUUUUUGUUAACCACAAACUGAUUGGCCAUCAAUAAUUGCAAGACUUUCUUUAGAUGAAACGAAUGAUCCUCCGAGGCACGACUAUAGAUCAAUAUGGCA
Molecule: unclassified non-coding RNA, 301 nt
Filed under: Hevea brasiliensis (rubber tree)
Lineage: Eukaryota; Viridiplantae; Streptophyta; Magnoliopsida; Malpighiales; Euphorbiaceae
Source: RNAcentral